AUACUUAACCUAGCCGAGGAGAUACUAUGGUCAAUAUCAUGGUCUACCCAGGUGAGGUUUAUUCAUUGCACUCAGGAUGUGCUGACCCCUGUGAUUUCCCCAAACGUGGGGAAACGCAACUGCAUAAUCUGUGGUAAUGAUUU
Molecule: small nuclear RNA, 143 nt
Gene: U1
Rfam family: U1 spliceosomal RNA
About the family: U1 is a small nuclear RNA (snRNA) component of the spliceosome (involved in pre-mRNA splicing). Its 5' end forms complementary base pairs with the 5' splice junction, thus defining the 5' donor site of an intron. There are significant differences in sequence and secondary structure between metazoan and yeast U1 snRNAs, the latter being much longer (568 nucleotides as compared to 164 nucleotides in human).
Source: Ensembl